Non-coding RNA from Podarcis lilfordi (Lilford's wall lizard), 64 nucleotides. Lineage: Eukaryota; Metazoa; Chordata; Lepidosauria; Squamata; Lacertidae. The record is from the annotation of a GenBank genome assembly.
GAGCUCAGGUGGUAGAGCCUGAGACUUCAUCUCAGGGCGAUGGGUUCAAGACCCACGUUGAGCA